Non-coding RNA from Malus domestica (apple), 739 nucleotides. The record is from RefSeq and is a predicted model, not a curated record. Lineage: Eukaryota; Viridiplantae; Streptophyta; Magnoliopsida; Rosales; Rosaceae.
GUCUCUAUAGGCAAAAAAAAAUUAUUUUAUGUCUCUCCAGGCAAGUGUCUAAAGAACAAAACUAAUUGAUUUAACAAACCAAGCUCACGUGACAUUGCCGUGGUAUUGUGACAUAACCUUUAAUUCAUCACCGAUUGCUCAAGUGGAGCCAAAUAGAGGUUGGUGUAUAAAGUUGGCUCCAUACAACAUCAGAGGAUGUGGAGUAGGGGUGGGCAAACGGGUCCUGGGCCCGUGGAUAGGGGCAGGUAUUGAUGGUUUGGGACGGGUACGAAGCGGGUCCAUAUUAUUUUACAUACAAAGCAGGGCGGGGUGGGUGAAGUCGUACAACUCCAAACAAUGAAUCAGUCAUCUCCUCUGUUUGACUCAGAUUUGCCUGGAAGCCGAGCUCUACUAACUGUCUUUUUCAAUUUCAAGGAUGAAUUUAGAAGGGUUUGUGCCGAACCCUGUGACUUGGACAUCAUUAUUGUCAAGUCAUGCUCGUUGUGGCCGCCAUGAAGAAACCUUUGAGUUGUUUGGUAGAAUGAGGUCGGUAGGAAUUGAAACUACAGCUGAAUUGCUUUCUGUGGUGUUAUUUGUAUGUGCUAAUGUAGAAAAUCAGCUGUGUUGCUGUUUUUUUUUUCCUUCAAUCUGUGCAGCUGCUGAUGUGCUGCUAUGUGAUGUAAUUAUUCUGACUAAGCUGUGAAUCUGUGCAACUGCAACUUCAAUAUGUGAAUCUGUAUAAAAAUUCAGUUUUUUCCCC